AGAGUUUGAUCCUGGCUCAGAACGAACGCUGGCGGCGUGGAUAAGACAUGCAAGUCGGACGAGAUUUCGUCCUGUAGCAAUACGGGAAGAAGUCUAGUGGCGAACGGGUGCUUAACACGUGGGCAAUUUGUCUUAAAGUGGGGGAUAGCUCGGCGAAAGCCGAAUUAAUACCGCAUGUGAUUAGAGUGGACAUCCAUUCAAAAUUAAAGUCGGGGCAACCUGACGCUUUUUGAGAAGCCCGCGGCCUAUCAGCUAGUUGGUGAGGUAACGGCUCACCAAGGCUUUGACGGGUAGCUGGUCUGAGAGGACGACCAGCCACACUGGGACUGAGACACAGCCCAGACACCUACGGGUGGCAGCAGUCGAGAAUUUUUCUCAAUGGGGGAAACCCUGAAGGAGCGACGCCGCGUGGAGGAUGAAGGUCUUCGGAUUGUAAACUCCUGUCAUUGGGGAACAAUGCGUGACGGUUAACUGCCGUCGCGUUGAUAGUACCCGAAGAGGAAGAGACGGCUAACUCUGUGCCAGCAGCCGCGGUAAUACAGAGGUCUCAAGCGUUGUUCGGAUUCAUUGGGCGUAAAGGGUGCGUAGGCGGCGCGGUAAGUCGGGUGUGAAAUCUCGGAGCUUAACUCCGAAACUGCAUUCGAUACUGCCGUGCUCGAGGACUGGAGAGGAGACUGGAAUUUACGGUGUAGCGGUGAAAUGCGUAGAUAUCGUAAGGAAGACCAGUGGCGAAGGCGGGUCUCUGGACAGUUCCUGACGCUGAGGCACGAAGGUCAGGGGAGCAAACGGGAUUAGAUACCCCAGUAGUCC
RNAcentral lists this ribosomal RNA (810 nucleotides) under uncultured bacterium. RNAcentral's name for it is "bacterial SSU rRNA". It matches the Rfam family "Bacterial small subunit ribosomal RNA", at positions 8 to 796 of the family's 1533-position model. The record is from RNAcentral.